AGAAUCAACGCUGGCGGCGUGCCUAACACAUGCAAGUCGCACGAGAAAGGGACUUCGGUCUUGAGUAAAGUGGCGCACGGGUGAGUAACACGUGAAUUAUCUACCUCCGAAUGGGGAAUAACUGAGAGAAAUCUUAGCUAAUACCGCAUAAUACCUACGGGUCAAAGCAGCAAUGCGUUUGGAGAGGAGUUCGCGGUCGAUUAGUUAGUUGGCGGGGUAAUGGCCCACCAAGACGAUGAUCGAUA
This 245-nucleotide ribosomal RNA is filed under the name uncultured bacterium. RNAcentral describes it as "partial small subunit ribosomal RNA". It matches the Rfam family "Bacterial small subunit ribosomal RNA", at positions 26 to 285 of the family's 1533-position model. The record is from RNAcentral.